UCAUCAAAGAACACGGAGCUGCCCCAUGGAGAAUCAUAUUCCACCUAAGAAAUUCUGCAACAAAAUAGAACACUUUUUCCUAAAGAAGAACAUUUCAGUGUAUGUUAUGGUCACUAUCUCAUUUGUGAUCUGGAUGCUAGAAGAUGAAUGAAGGACGGUCAUACCAAGAGAUCCUGCCAGCUGGUACUCAACCCUCAAGGAGAGCUUUACAGAUUCA
This 217-nucleotide long non-coding RNA is filed under the name Mus spicilegus (steppe mouse). RNAcentral describes it as "lncRNA (ENSMSIG00000004485.1)". Lineage: Eukaryota; Metazoa; Chordata; Mammalia; Rodentia; Muridae. The record is from RNAcentral.